This 654-nucleotide ribosomal RNA is filed under the name Salmonella enterica subsp. enterica serovar Indiana. RNAcentral describes it as "partial 23S ribosomal RNA". It matches the Rfam family "Bacterial large subunit ribosomal RNA", at positions 685 to 1252 of the family's 2925-position model. The record is from RNAcentral. Lineage: Bacteria; Pseudomonadati; Pseudomonadota; Gammaproteobacteria; Enterobacterales; Enterobacteriaceae.
UAAUUGGGCGUUAAGUUGCAGGGUAUAGACCCGAAACCCGGUGAUCUAGCCAUGGGCAGGUUGAAGGUUGGGUAACACUAACUGGAGGACCGAACCGACUAAUGUUGAAAAAUUAGCGGAUGACCUGUGGCUGGGGGUGAAAGGCCAAUCAAACCGGGAGAUAGCUGGUUCUCCCCGAAAGCUAUUUAGGUAGCGCCUCGUGAAUUCAUCUCCGGGGGUAGAGCACUGUUUCGGCUAGGGGGCCAUCCCGGCUUACCAACCCGAUGCAAACUGCGAAUACCGGAGAAUGUUAUCACGGGAGACACACGGCGGGUGCUAACGUCCGUCGUGAAGAGGGAAACAACCCAGACCGCCAGCUAAGGUCCCAAAGUCAUGGUUAAGUGGGAAACGAUGUGGGAAGGCCCAGACAGCCAGGAUGUUGGCUUAGAAGCAGCCAUCAUUUAAAGAAAGCGUAAUAGCUCACUGGUCGAGUCGGCCUGCGCGGAAGAUGUAACGGGGCUAAACCAUGCACCGAAGCUGCGGCAGCGAACGUAUCACCCAAGACAACUUUGCGGAGUUGACGAUUGACGGAGCGAAGCGACGUCAAAGCGUUCAUUAAAGUCGAGUUGGCUUAGGGAUACGUUCGUUGGGUAGGGGAGCGUUCUGUAAGCCUGU